This 403-nucleotide ribosomal RNA is filed under the name uncultured bacterium. RNAcentral's name for it is "partial 16S ribosomal RNA". It matches the Rfam family "Bacterial small subunit ribosomal RNA", at positions 28 to 526 of the family's 1533-position model. The record is from RNAcentral.
GACGAACGCUGGCGGCGUGCCUAAUACAUGCAAGUCGAACGCAGUGGGGACGGGUGAGUAACACGUGGGUAACCCCCCAUCAGAGGGGAUAACACUUGGAAACAGGUGCUAAACCAAAACGGAUGGUGGGGCCGGCGGUGCAUUAGCUAGUGGGUGAGUUAACGGCUCACAAAGGCAACGAUGCAUAGCGGACCGGAGGGGGUGUUCGCCCACACGGGGCCUGAUACACGGCCCAGACUCCUACGGGGGGCAGCAGUAGGGAAUCUUGGGCAAUGGAGGAAAGUCUGACCGGGCAACGCCAGGUGAGUGAGGAGGUUUUUCGAAUGUUAAAACUCUUUUGUUAGAGAAGCGGUAUCUAACCAGAAAGCCACGGCUAACUACGUGCCAGCAGCCGCGGUAAUUC